Molecule: ribosomal RNA, 492 nt
Filed under: uncultured bacterium
Lineage: Bacteria
Description: partial 16S ribosomal RNA
Rfam family: Bacterial small subunit ribosomal RNA
Source: RNAcentral
AGUGAACGCUGGCGGUAGGCCUAACACAUGCAAGUCGAACGGCAGCACAGUAAGAGCUUGCUCUUACGGGUGGCGAGUGGCGGACGGGUGAGGAAUACAUCGGAAUCUACUUUUUCGUGGGGGAUAACGUAGGGAGACUUACGCUAAUACCGCAUACGACCUACGGGUGAAAGCAGGGGAUAUUCGGACCUUGCGCGAUUGAAUGAGCCGAUGUCGGAUUAGCUAGUUGGCGGGGUAAAGGCCCACCAAGGCGACGAUCCGUAGCUGGUCUGAGAGGAUGAUCAGCCACACUGGAACUGAGACACGGUCCAGACUCCUACGGGAGGCAGCAGUGGGGAAUAUUGGACAAUGGGCGCAAGCCUGAUGCAGCCAUGCCGCGUGGGUGAAGAAGGCCUUCGGGUUGUAAAGCCCUUUUGUUGGGGAAGAAAAGCAGCAGGAUUAUACCCCGCUGUUCUGACGGUACCCAAAGAAUAAGCACCGGCUAACUUCGUG